Molecule: ribosomal RNA, 429 nt
Filed under: Gemmatimonadota bacterium
Lineage: Bacteria; Pseudomonadati; Gemmatimonadota
Description: Gemmatimonadetes bacterium partial 16S ribosomal RNA
Rfam family: Bacterial small subunit ribosomal RNA
Source: RNAcentral
UAGGGAAUCUUCGGCAAUGGACGAAAGUCUGACCGAGCAACGCCGCGUGAGUGAAGAAGGUUUUCGGAUCGUAAAACUCUGUUGUUAGAGAAGAACAAGGACGUUAGUAACUGAACGUCCCCUGACGGUAUCUAACCAGAAAGCCACGGCUAACUACGUGCCAGCAGCCGCGGUAAUACGUAGGUGGCAAGCGUUGUCCGGAUUUAUUGGGCGUAAAGCGAGCGCAGGCGGUUUCUUAAGUCUGAUGUGAAAGCCCCCGGCUCAACCGGGGAGGGUCAUUGGAAACUGGGAGAAUUGAGUGCAGAAGAGGAGAGUGGAAUUCCAUGUGUAGCGGUGAAAUGCGUAGAUAUAUGGAGGAACACCAGUGGCGAAGGCGGCUCUCUGGUCUGUAGCUGACGCUGAGGCUCGAAAGCGUGGGGAGCAAACAGG